Molecule: transfer RNA, 87 nt
Filed under: Gammaproteobacteria bacterium
Lineage: Bacteria; Pseudomonadati; Pseudomonadota; Gammaproteobacteria
Description: tRNA-Leu
Rfam family: tRNA
About the family: Transfer RNA (tRNA) molecules are approximately 80 nucleotides in length. Their secondary structure includes four short double-helical elements and three loops (D, anti-codon, and T loops).
Source: RNAcentral
GCCGUCGUGGUGGAAUUGGUAGACACGCUAUCUUGAGGGGGUAGUGACCUAACGGUCGUGAGAGUUCGAGUCUCUCCGACGGCACCA